Long non-coding RNA from Eupeodes corollae, 1481 nucleotides. RefSeq lists it as uncharacterized. Lineage: Eukaryota; Metazoa; Arthropoda; Insecta; Diptera; Syrphidae. The record is from RefSeq and is a predicted model, not a curated record. The transcript is spliced from 3 exons.
GACAAUUCUACGAAAAUGUAAACAAAACAAAAUUCAGUAUCAAUAAUGCAAAUGAAGAUAAAAAAGAAACCAAGGAUAACGUUGCAACAAGAAAAAUGAAGCCCCGAGUAGGAAGCCAGCAACGUCGACAUAUUUAUUCUGGAGUGAAUAGGUACAAAUUGAAGUUAAAAUUACACUUCUCUACAAGACUUUGUUCCUGGCAAUCAAAUCGCUCUAUUCUGAUGGCUUAUAUCCUCAUUUGUAACCCUGUAGGAAUGAGAAAGGCCGAUUACAGCGAAGGGAUCAAUGUCGCAGAAGACUGAAAGCUUCGCUUAUCUAUACAAGUCGAGAACUCGAGAGUUGCUAUAAAGUUGAGGAUUCUCUUUACUUGGUGGGCAUUCAUAGCCAAGCCAAAUACAAGUUGAAUCAAUUGCAGCGUGUGUAGCACAUUCACGUAAUGUUACAAUGCAAAGCACUUCUUGCAGCCAGCUACGGAUAAGCGAAAGAUCGCAGUGUAUGCAAGUCCUUCCUCAUCAUGUGAACAAUAGUUAAUUUAAUCUACAGUCAGUUUUUCAAGACAGUACCUACCACCGAGGAUUCGCCAUUUGAUCUGUUUCUAUGUUAUUUUAGCAGAAAUUCACAUUUGAAUAUCUUCUUUUUACAUUUUUUUUGCAACUCUGUGAUGUAUUUGGUGAGGAUGUGUUUAUAAAUAAUAAAAUAAGAACUAUCUUAAUUUUCUCCUUUUCUAAUUUAAGUCCAAUCUAUCAAUUUAGGCUCUUGAGAUAUUAUUCUGUUUGUAAUUAGAAAACUAUUAUAUACAUACAUAAAAGGCUUUUCGAAGCUAUCAAUUUUAUAAAAUAGUUUUUUUUUCAAAAAAAAUGUUUUAUGAUUAUCAAAAUCUAUAAUAUAUGCCUUCAAUAUUUUCUUCCUUUACAAUAUUUUACUAUUUCCUAUAACGAAUUUGUAGUCUUAAGAUUAUUAUAUCAAAUUCAUGCAAUAUAUUGAAAAAAUACAAAAAUAAAUAAUAUACCUAAUAUAAAGUAAAAUCGGAGUUGGGUUUCGUAAUCAGCAUCAAAAAUUAAACGAAGUUAUUAUUAUUUAUAACCACACAAAAAUUACAAUCUAGUUUUUUUCAAAACUUCAGGUAAAGUCAAAUAGAGUCUUAUGAGUCUUUCAUAAAUAAUAAGAAAUUACGAAAACUAAGUGAAAUAGCAAAAUGAUUUGAACUGGAGCUAAGAGCAGAGAUAUUAUGUACUUUGCAAAACAAUCUUGCAAUUUAAAGUUAAGAGAUACGUCAUGCUUUUCGCAUGAGGUUUGAAGUCAGGAUAUCUUAAUCCUCUCAAAAAAAAAAAACGAUUGACUAAUGCUAUUGACCACAUGAAAUCACAAAGAAUUACAUACGAACGUGAUGGACCAAAACAUAGGAAUAGUAUUAAAAAUACCAAGUUUUUAAUUUUGUUAGAUUAAACAUAUGUCUGAAUAAAAAAAAUAAAAUCUACUUA